GGGCCCGCACAAGCGGUGGAGCAUGUGGUUCAAUUCGACGCAACGCGCAGAACCUUACCAGGCCUUGACAUCCUCUGAUGGUCCGAGAAAUCGGGCUUUCCCCGCAAGGGGCAGAGAGACAGGUGCUGCAUGGCUGUCGUCAGCUCGUGUCGUGAGAUGUUGGGUUAAGUCCCGCAACGAGCGCAACCCUCGCCUUCAGUUGCCAUCAUUUAGUUGGGCACUCUGAAGGGACUGCCGGUGACAAGCCGGAGGAAGGUGGGGAUGACGUCAAGUCCUCAUGGCCCUUACGGCCUGGGCUACACACGUGCUACAAUGGCGGUGACAGAGGGCAGCAAACCGGCAACGGGGCGCAAAUCUCUAAAAGCCGUCUCAGUUCAGAUUGCACGCUGCAACUCGCGUGCAUGAAGGUGGAAUCGCUAGUAAUCGCAGAACAGCAGGCUGCGGUGAAUACGUUCCCGGGCCUU
This 464-nucleotide ribosomal RNA is filed under the name uncultured bacterium. Its description in RNAcentral is "bacterial SSU rRNA". It matches the Rfam family "Bacterial small subunit ribosomal RNA", at positions 917 to 1382 of the family's 1533-position model. The record is from RNAcentral.